AGAGUUUGAUCCUGGCUCAGAUUGAACGCUGGCGGCAUGGCUAAAACAUGCAAGUCGUGGGAGAAUCCACUUCGGUGGAGGACACCGGCGAAAGGGCUAGUAAUGGUAUCGAACGUACCCCGAGGUUGAGGAUAGCUGGGGGAAACUCCAGGUAAUACUCGAUAAGCUCUACGGAGGAAAGCUCCGGCGCCUUGGGAGCGGCGAUACUCCUAUCAGGUAGUUGGUGGGGUAAAGGCCUACCAAGCCAAAGACGGGUAGCGGGUGUGAGAGCAUGACCCGCAGCAUCGGGACUGAGACACUGCCCGGACUCCUACGGGAGGCUGCAGUAACGAAUCUUCCGCAAUGCGCGAAAGCGUGACGGAGCAAUGCCGCGUGUGGGAUGAAGCGGUUUCGCCGCGUAAACCACUGUCAGGUCCUAGGAACACUGACCGGGACCAGAGGAAGGGCCGGCUAACCUCGUGCCAGCAGCCGCGGUAAGACGAGGGGCCCAAGCGUUAAUCGGAAUCACUGGGCUUAAAGGGUGCGCAGGCGGACCAGCAAGCAUCUCGUGAAAGCCCCCGGCUCAACCGGGGAACUGCGGGGUGAACUGCUGGUCUUGAGACAGGUAGGGGCAGACGGAACUGUCGGUGGAGCGGUGAAAUGCUUAGAUAUCGACAGGAACGCCAAUGGCGAAGGCAGUCUGCUGGGCCUGUUCUGACGCUCAGGCACGAAAGCGUGGGGAGCAAACAGGAUUAGAUACCCUGGUAGUCCACGCCGUAAACGAUGUGCACUAGAUCGAGGUGGCUCUCACGCCUUCUCGGUCGAAGGAAAACCGUUAAGU
This 820-nucleotide ribosomal RNA is filed under the name uncultured Planctomycetales bacterium. Its description in RNAcentral is "bacterial SSU rRNA". It matches the Rfam family "Bacterial small subunit ribosomal RNA", at positions 8 to 865 of the family's 1533-position model. The record is from RNAcentral. Lineage: Bacteria; Pseudomonadati; Planctomycetota; Planctomycetia; Planctomycetales.